ACGAAGGGGGCUAGCGUUGCUCGGAAUCACUGGGCGUAAAGCGCACGUAGGCGGCUUUCUAAGUCAGGGGUGAAAUCCUGGAGCUCAACUCCAGAACUGCCUUUGAUACUGGAGAGCUUGAGUCCGGGAGAGGUGAGUGGAACUCCGAGUGUAGAGGUGAAAUUCGUAGAUAUUGGGAGGAACACCGGUGGCGAAGGCGGCUACCUGGACCGGUACUGACGCUGAGGCGCGAAAGCUAGGGUAGCAAACAGGA
RNAcentral lists this ribosomal RNA (253 nucleotides) under uncultured prokaryote. Its description in RNAcentral is "partial 16S ribosomal RNA". It matches the Rfam family "Bacterial small subunit ribosomal RNA", at positions 525 to 777 of the family's 1533-position model. The record is from RNAcentral.